Molecule: ribosomal RNA, 397 nt
Filed under: uncultured bacterium
Lineage: Bacteria
Description: partial 16S ribosomal RNA
Rfam family: Bacterial small subunit ribosomal RNA
Source: RNAcentral
AUACGUAGGGGGCGAGCGUUGUCCGGAAUGAUUGGGCGUAAAGGGCGCGUAGGCGGCCCGGUAAGUCUGGAGUGAAAGUCCUGUUUUUAAGAUGGGAAUUGCUUUGGAUACUGUCGGGCUUGAGUGCAGGAGAGGUAAGUGGAAUUCCCAGUGUAGCGGUGAAAUGCGUAGAGAUUGGGAGGAACACCAGUGGCGAAGGCGACUUCCUGGACUGGAACUGACGCUGAGGCGCGAAAGUGUGGGGAGCAAACAGGAAUAGAUACCCUGGUAGUCCACACUGUAAACGAUGAAUGCUAGGUGUAGGGGGUAUCGACCCCUUCUGUGCCGCAGUCAACACAAUAAGCAUUCCGCCUGGGGAGUACGGCCGCAAGGUUGAAACUCAAAGGAAUUGACGGGU